CGCGAGAGAGCAAUUUUGUAGUCUCGGGAACAAAUGAGACAGACACCUCAGUUCACAGAAAUCACAGCAAAUUAUAUAUUUGUUUAAAGCAAAUCACCUCGAGGCAUAAAAGUGUUUGAAAAAAUGCUAAGACCCAUUAAUUAAGUUGAAUCCCAUAGAAGCUUUUCAAGUACAUCGUUCAUCCUACGGCCCUGGUUCGGAGGUAAGGAACAACCUGACGGAUGCUUAUUUGGUCUGAUUGUGUGUAUAUUGUAUGAGUGACUAAAGCUGAAUAGCUGUGUGUCCUUGGGUGUUAUUGUGGCUAAACAGGUAUGCGAUUACCCAACGCUCUCCAAUUUCAUUAUGGGCGGAUAGGCAAACACACUGGUGUAACCUGAUUAAAAAGCAGUUGGCAUUAUAAAACUCAGAAUGUCCAAAGUCACAAUGACACGGCGUUUUACAGCAUCUUCCCCACCUUCAGUUGAUGUGAUGCAUUUCCUGUUUAACCCUGAUCUUAGGGUGGGACAUUACACAAGAAAGUAUUCCAAAGCAUAAAACACUAACAUAUCAGAAGGUUUAUUUGAUGGUAGGGCAGAGAUAAAAAAAAUGUUUGGAAUCUUUGGACACCAACUGUUGCACAAUGAAGUUAGCACUAACCCAUUUUGAAUUAGUUUUAAGUUUUAAGUAGACCAAACAAAUUCUACACUGAAAAGGACAUUUCUCUAGGAACACCUAACUUAAACAAAACAGUCUUAAACAUUACCCUAAUCAAAUAUUUUUUGUAAUGUGCUGUCUUUUUUUUGCCAUUGAAUUGUUAUACUGAGAGGUGUUUUCUAACACAGACUAACUGUUAACUAUUGCUAGACUGUAUACGUUUAAGCUUCGCGUACAUAAUAAACUGCCAUUGCAACUUUCAUAUUUGUUAUGAAUAAGCUACAACAGUCCACACAUAAUUGCAAUGCACUUUGGGAAGGUUUCAAAACAUACACAACUGAAUUUCAAAAUU
Anoplopoma fimbria (sablefish) is the source of this 985-nucleotide long non-coding RNA. RefSeq lists it as uncharacterized. Lineage: Eukaryota; Metazoa; Chordata; Actinopteri; Perciformes; Anoplopomatidae. The transcript has 3 exons. The record is from RefSeq and is a predicted model, not a curated record.